Molecule: ribosomal RNA, 1025 nt
Filed under: uncultured bacterium
Lineage: Bacteria
Description: bacterial SSU rRNA
Rfam family: Bacterial small subunit ribosomal RNA
Source: RNAcentral
AGUGGGGAAUAUUGCACAAUGAGGGAAACCUUGAUGCAGCCAUGCCGCGUGUGUGAAGAAGGCCCGAGGGUUGUAAAGCACUUUCAAUUGUGAGGAAGAUUAAGUAGCUAAUAUCUGCUUAAUUUGACGUUAACUUUAGAAGAAGCACCGGCUAACUCUGUGCCAGCAGCCGCGGUAAUACAGAGGGUGCAAGCGUUAUUCGGAAUUACUGGGCGUAAAGCGCGCGUAGGCGGACUGUUAAGUCGGUUGUGAAAGCCCUGGGCUCAACCUAGGAACUGCAUCCGAUACUGGCAAUCUAGAGUUUAAGAGAGGGAAGUGGAAUUCCAGGUGUAGCAGUGAAAUGCGUAGAUAUCUGGAGGAACAUCAGUGGCGAAGGCGACUUCCUGGCUUAAAACUGACGCUGAGGUGCGAAAGCUUGGGUAGCGAACGGGAUUAGAUACCCCGGUAUUCCAAGCCGUAAACGAUGUCAACUAGCUGUUGGUCUUAUUAAAAAGAUUAGUAGCGUAGCUAACGCGAUAAGUUGACCGCCUGGGGAGUACGGUCGCAAGAUUAAAACUCAAAGGAAUUGACGGGGGCCCGCACAAGCGGUGGAGCAUGUGGUUUAAUUCGAUGCAACGCGAAGAACCUUACCAUCCCUUGACAUCCUGCGAACUUUCUAGAGAUAGAUUGGUGCCUUCGGGAACGCAGUGACAGGUGCUGCAUGGCUGUCGUCAGCUCGUGUCGUGAGAUGUUGGGUUAAGUCCCGCAACGAGCGCAACCCUUAUCAUUAGUUGCUAACAUUUAGUUGAGAACUCUAAUGAGACUGCCGGUGAUAAACCGGAGGAAGGCGGGGACGACGUCAAGUCAUCAUGGCCCUUAUGGGAUGGGCUACACACGUGCUACAAUGGGGGGUACAAAGAGCAGCCAACUGGCGACAGUGCGCGAAUCUCAUAAAACCUCUCGUAGUCCGGAUCGGAGUCUGCAACUCGACUCCGUGAAGUCGGAAUCGCUAGUAAUCGUGAAUCAGAAGGUCACGGUGAAUACGU